UGCCUAAUACAUGCAAGUCGAGCGCACCGUUCGGGUGAGCGGCGGACGGGUUAGUAACGCGUGGGAAUAUGCCCAAAGGUACGGAAUAGCCUCUGGAAACGGAGAGUAAUACCGUAUGUGCCCUUCGGGGGAAAGAUUUAUCGCCUUUGGAUUAGCCCGCGUUGGAUUAGGUAGUUGGUGGGGUAAUGGCCUACCAAGCCUACGAUCCAUAGCUGGUUUGAGAGGAUGAUCAGCAACACUGGGACUGAGACACGGCCCAGACUCCUACGGGAGGCAGCAGUAGGGAAUCUUAGACAAUGGGCGAAAGCCUGAUCUAGCCAUGCCGCGUGAGUGAAGAAGGCCCUAGGGUCGUAAAGCUCUUUCGCCAGGGAUGAUAAUGACAGUACCUGGUAAAGAAACCCCGGCUAACUCCGUGCCAGCAGCCGCGGUAAUACGGAGGGGGUUAGCGUUGUUCGGAAUUACUGGGCGUAAAGCGUACGUAGGCGGAUUAGUCAGUCAGAGGUGAAAUCCCAGGGCUCAACCCUGGAACUGCCUUUGAUACUGCUAGUCUUGAGUUCGAGAGAGGUGAGUGGAAUUCCAAGUGUAGAGGUGAAAUUCGUAGAUAUUUGGAGGAACACCAGUGGCGAAGGCGGCUCACUGGCUCGAUACUGACGCUGAGGUACGAAAGUGUGGGGAGCAAACAGGAUUAGAUACCCUGGUAGUCCACACCGUAAACGAUGAAUGCCAGUCGUCGGGUUGCUUAGCGAUUCCGGUGACACACUAACGGAUUAAGCAUCCGCUGGGGAGUACG
Molecule: ribosomal RNA, 790 nt
Filed under: uncultured Paracoccaceae bacterium
Lineage: Bacteria; Pseudomonadati; Pseudomonadota; Alphaproteobacteria; Rhodobacterales; Paracoccaceae
Description: bacterial SSU rRNA
Rfam family: Bacterial small subunit ribosomal RNA
Source: RNAcentral